This is a non-coding RNA of Trichuris trichiura (human whipworm), 266 nucleotides long. The record is from Rfam. Lineage: Eukaryota; Metazoa; Nematoda; Enoplea; Trichinellida; Trichuridae.
CUCUAGUUUGACUCUGUGAACAGACAUUGAAGGUGUAGCACAGGUGGGAGACCGGUGGGCGCUCGCGGUACCGUGCCGACAGUGAAAUACCACUACUCUGAUCGUUUCUUUACUUAUUCGGUGAGGCGGAAGGAACGGUCGCUCGCGUGGCCGUCUAACGGCGCGCGACGACUGCCACUUUAUACAGCAUGUAGCUUAUAAACUAUUGCACAUCUGGAGAGUGAGAAGAAAUACCCAAAACGAGCAUGAGACUGGUUAAACUGGAG